This is a non-coding RNA of Paramormyrops kingsleyae, 1439 nucleotides long. NCBI's taxonomy places the organism in Eukaryota, Metazoa, Chordata, Actinopteri, Osteoglossiformes, Mormyridae. The record is from RefSeq and is a predicted model, not a curated record.
GUGCCUCUGCCGUCUGUAGUCUCGCUCCUUGAGCGGCGUGGGGCUGCCCCCCGGUGGCGGCUCAGCAGGCAGUUAACUUCAGCAGCUGAGUAGCCAGGAGGCAGAGAAGCAGGGUGACCGAGGUGCCGCCGUUCUGGCAGAGCAGCAGCUCGUCGUCACACACGUUUGCUGAAGGACAGAGGGAGUGGGGAACGAGGAAAAGCAGAUUAUGCUCGGCUGGGACUGAGUUUACUCAACGGAGAAAAUCAGGCAAGUAUACCGCUUCAUCUUCUAAACAUUCAAAAGCGGACUUCAUGAAGAGCUGGGUCUUAUGAUGCCUCAAUUUGCUCAUUUUUGAAAUGCAGUGCAUUCAUGAAAAAGUUUAUUGUGGUCAACCAAUAAAAGCCAAGCAGUGGCAUCCUAAAAUGUUUGCAAAGCUAAUCUAUGUGCAACAUGACACAUAGCCUCAAAAACAUUUUUGUUUAUAAAAACAAAUGUAUAACAUAUUUUAUUAUACGUAACACAUAAUAGCACAUCUCAGCAAAUAUUUCUAGGCCCACCUUCUAAUAAAGAAACAUAAGUCACUUGUACGGUUUCUCUCAUUGCUGACCCACUAUGUAUGCAAGAAUCUCUACUUAAGAAUCUCUAGUUGUGAAAAUUAUCACUUAAAGUCGAACAUACAUUUCUUUAGUAAGCACUCUUGUAUACCGGUUUGUCCCUAAACACCUAAGCUAGGUUAUGGUCUGCAUCACACACCAGCCUAUUGCAAAGUCACUCAUUCAUCUGUAUUACAGGAAGUCCCUGUGCGUUGAGAAAAUCAGUACAAAGAGCUUAAAAACUCUUUGUGGGGUUUAGAUGUAACACCUCAGUGAGCUGUACUGUUGGAGACAUAUCAACCUGAUUUGGUACAAAGCUAUCUUUAAACAAAUAAUGUCAUUGUUCAGCUUCAUAGUUAUUAAUCUAUAAACUGAUUAUUUUGUCAAAUUUAUUGACUGAACAAGCUCGAUACUAAUUAAUUCAUAGUUAGAACAGAAUGAAUAUAUUGCAUAUUUAUCCUGACAUUCCACAAAAAAGACUCCUAAAGAGAACUCUGAAACAGAGAAACGUGCUGUUCAUUUUAUGUCUGAAUUCAAUCAAAAGCUCGAUAAAUCCUAAGCCACUAAGAGAAGUUAUAAAACAACUAGCGUUUACAAAUCCAGCACUUUGAAGUCGAUAUUUUUAAAUUGGCUGGAAGUCGAAGCAGAGCAGCAAAAAUGGACUUGGCUGAAUUUCAGCUUGUUUGUCUUGACUUUCAGAACAAGGAAAUGAAGGAGAGACACAUUCUGAUCACAGUGCAAACGACUCCAACUAUCGUAACCAGCGGAUAGCGUGUCCCGGUUGAGAUGAACGAGGGAUAGAAAAAGCAGCAAACGACUGGAAUCUGUCCCUGUCUGAUUUCUUAGUAGCACAGACUACAUACU